Molecule: long non-coding RNA, 2208 nt
Organism: Astatotilapia calliptera (eastern happy)
Lineage: Eukaryota; Metazoa; Chordata; Actinopteri; Cichliformes; Cichlidae
Source: Ensembl
CAACUUCCUGUCAGCCUGCAACUCAGUCUUUCUGAAAGAGACACUGUUUAACCCCUGAAUGCAAUAUAAACUCCAGAUUAUAUUAUUAAUGCAAUGGUAAUGAUGACAAUUAUUUAACAAUAGCAGUAAAAUAAUUUCCCUGCUCCACAACAGUAACGCAUGAAAGGCAGUUCUAUUUGUGUAUUAAUCACCAUGAUGUGGCAUGAAAAUAGAAGAAAGGCGCAAAACGUGUACCAUACUCAGGGUUUAAAAUGGGUUGGUGUUUUUUUUCUUUUGUGUUUUUUUAGAUGUCCAUACGCUGCGGUUGUGCCGGUGUCAUGCCAAGGAGCGAGUAAAGAAGGAAAACAAGAAUGGAUCAAAAGAGUGAAAAGAGAAUUUCAAAAUGGCCCACUUGCAUCAAAUGUUGUGUUUGGCUUUAUUUUGACGGUCCUGGAAAGGUUGGUGGAGACAGAGUUUGAGUGUCCCUGUAAAGGGAAAUGCUGGAAUGGUUGGUUUGUGGCUACAUUCUUCAUCUUACCAGGGAUUUUGGCCUUUGUGCUGAUGGCUUCAGUUCAAGGACUGAAGUGCUCAUGUGACAAAGACAAUGCAAAGAGAAUCUUUCACUGCUGCAUCCCUACAUUUGUCUGGAUGAUCCUGUUGGUCUUUGAUGGCCGCUACAUUGCUUGUGCAAUGACUGGUUGGUUAGGCAGGUAUGUAACUGCUGACAAAGCUGCCCCACUGAAAUGGUGUGAACCAGAAAAUGGUACCUCAUAUCAGGAAAAUCUUAAGAAUUCUCAGGACUGGUACGUUCACUCUCAGUUGGCUGGACUUUGCUUGGUCUUGGUCUUGGCCUCAGUCCUGAUCAUAAAAUGGAUCAUGGAUCAACAAAGUCCUUCUACAGAGCAAAGAUCUUCCAAAAGUCUUCGCCUCACUGUGCGUGCAGAUAGACUCACACCUGCCUGCUGCCAUUCCUGAGCAAGCUCUGCACUGAUGGCACUUUGAUACCGCAGCUGAGUCAUCUUUAGGAGACCAUCCUGGCGCUUGCUGGACUUUCUUGGACGCCCUGAAGCCUUCUUAACAAUAAUUGAACCUCUUUCCUUGAAGUUCUUGAUGAUCUGAUAUAUGGUUGAUUUAGGUGCAGUCUUAGUAGCAAUAGCAUCCUUGCCUGUGAAGCCCUUUUUAUGCAACACAAUGAAGGCUACAUGUGUUUCCUUGUAGGUAAUCAUGUUUAAUAGGAAGAAUAACGACUUCAAGCAUCACCCUCCUUUUAAUGCAUCCAGUCUGCUAUUCUAACUCAGUCAGCAUAACAUAAUGAUCUCCAGCCUUGUGCUUGUCAACAUUCUCACCUGAGUUGAUGAGAACAUUAUUGAAAUGAUCUCAGCAGGUCCUUUUAUGGCAUGAAAUGCUGAAUGCUGAAAUGCAGUGGAAAUUGAAUUUUGAGAUUAAGUUCAUUUUCAUGGCAAAGAAGGAUUUUGCAAUUCAUCUGAUCACUCUUCAUAACAUUCUAGAGUAUAUGGAAAUUGCUAUUAUAAAAACUGAAGCAGCAAACUUUGUGAAAACCAGUAUUUGUGUCAUUCUCAAAACUUUUGGCCACGACUGUAUUGUUCUGCAUAUAUUUAGCACAAUUCAGUAAGAUAAAUCAUAUUAAAACCUGAGUUUCACUAAGUCUUUUUACAGUGGUAUAUUUCAGUUGGCUAUACCUCAUUUAAAACUGAUAUUCAAAGAAGUUAUAUUUGCCAUUACUUUAUUAUUAUAAGUAAGUGCUUAAAUUGGUGUUUUACGCCAUUUAAAAGUUAAAAAUAUUUGUAGUUGGUGUAUAGUACUAAUCAAUGUUCAAAAAAGAUAUGUAACAAAUGGCUUGCAAAGCUCAAGCUUGCAAAAAUAAACAUAAAUCUAUUUAUCAAAGCAAAAUAUUGAUUUUGCAAUAUUAAAGUGGUGGGCCCAAAGUGAUAUAUUUUUGUUUCCACAGGGCCCCAGUUUCCAUGUGUAUCAUCCUUCAUUCAGUGGCCAAGAGAAUAUUGCAGGCCGAGAGAUAAAAGUCCACGUUUUGAGAUGUGGAGGUGGAAAUGGUCAGACAUAUAUCAGCUAGGAAAUUAUAAUUUUCAUCUGCUAGGAGGGUUGUGUUUGGGACUCUGAUGAACUUUUACUUACUUUUUCUGCAGGAUUUUGCAUUGGCACCGCCUUGCUUCUCUCUUUUCUCAUUUUUUCCAGUUUGAUUAAAAACAUGCA